Long non-coding RNA from Vespa velutina, 6534 nucleotides. RefSeq lists it as uncharacterized. Lineage: Eukaryota; Metazoa; Arthropoda; Insecta; Hymenoptera; Vespidae. The transcript has 3 exons. The record is from RefSeq and is a predicted model, not a curated record.
GCAACCCUUUCCCUUCCCUUCGUCAACCGAGGCUGACCCUAGGACCUGGCGAACGCAAUCGAAUAUUUGCGUUUAGGUAGGCACGUCGACGCGGAAAAUGCUAUCUUUGUCAAUUAAUUCAACCUGUUGUCGCCCGUCGUUCGUCGCUCGGACGACUAUUCCGCUCGGUUCCCGGUAUACGAUCGGGAAAAUUGGCGGUUUUGCGGCCGUUGUCUAUGGACGAGGGACUCUUCGCUCCCAUCUAUCUCUAUCUCUAUCUCACUCGCUAGCUCGCUCAAUCGGAUCAACACGCUUGUACAAUAUUUCUCUUCUCUUCGUUUGCAUGUUCGACACUUUUGGGAUUACUAGAGAUUGAUAUCGGCGACAUCUUUAAAACUGGGUCAAGAGAUUUUUCUUGAUUCAUUUGAAAUCAUGUUAAACGACUUUGAGAUAUCAAUUGCAUGAUAAAGUAUGCCUUCAUACCAAAUAUAUUGACUAUGGUUAUGUUUCAUUAAUUUUAUCGAUUCUCGAGCAAGUUACUUUUUCUUUUUUAUUAGAAAAAAAUAUCACAGGAAACGAGGAAAAAUUUUUACGCUGGGUUAACACCGAGAAGGAUGACUACGGAUGAAAUCUCGACGUCAUUAUUCUCGCCACCGAAUGAUUCCAUGCAUGUCCGAGCGACUCUCAGAUAGCAAAUAUAGCGAUUAUCAGAAUUUCCCAUGUGUCAUCGUUGUAAUCAUGUACCUGACGCAUACGCUCGUAUACGAUGAACUUCUCACGAGACGAAUUGAACGAACGAAAGGGGAAGAGGAGGAGAGAGGUGAACAGAAUGAGAGAGAGAGAGAGAGAAAUAGAGAGAGAGAGAGCGAGAGAAAGAGAGAGAGAUUGAGAUCGAAUACUCUAUCCUGAUCACGCGGAAUACCUCACCGUUGGCUCGUUUGCUCAGAAAAUUAACAUAUAAAUUAGGCUCGAGCUGCAAUCUCCAUCCCCACGGCGUUACCCUCCUCCCAGUCCUCGAUCUCACUCUCUCAAUUUUCCAUUUAUACGCUCGUAUGCGUAGGCCAUGUUCGAUUUCGUCCUACGAAAUGUUUUUCAAUUGUCCGGAAUAAUCAUCCGGGGCCGAGUGUGAACCCCAAAACCGGAAAUCGUUACUGGUUUGACCCUUUCGAGGGUCAAGUCAGUCACGCUGCUUGGUUUCUCGUGCUUUCGAAAGGAUAUGCUGUUUUUAAGACGGCUCUGCGAAAGGACGGUGUAAUGCUUCGGGAUUGCUUUUAGAGAGGAUUAAAUUUUAUAUGUUAUCGUGACAGGUAUAAAAGAAAGGAUUACAAGUGUUAAAGAAGUAAAGAAAAAAAGAAAAAAAAAAAAAGAGAAAAGAAAAAGAGAGAAUACAUUCGCGAAUUUGUUGGCUUUGUUUCUUUGCAAUGAUCAUUUGUGAUAAAGUCAAAUUCAAAUAUUUAUGAUGAAAAAUCAAGUGGAAAUAAUCGAGACAUCGAAUUGCAGCGGAUGAUAUUAUCUUUAUCACACUCCUUAUUAUUUUCAUCGAAUAAAUAACUUCAAUUUUCUAGUUAAAAAUAAAUCUCCCUUGUUCAUUGGAAAUAACAAAACUUUUCUUAACAAACACGUUUAAAGAGUUAUACGGAUAUAAGCAAUACAAUAGACCAAAUCAAAUAUUCUACAUAAAGAAACGAUGCAAAAGCGUUACCGAUUUAGAUAUUUUUGGAUUUAGUAUAAAAUCGACGGAAACGUUCGUAUGCGCUCUAGGAUUUGUCCUAAAAAGAAGGAAAAAAGGGGAACUCGACGGGCAUAACCCACCGAACGAGAAAAGGGCGUGCGUCGAAGAAGUAUAUCGGUAGGGUAGGUGCCGCUGGUACCGGCACCUAAUCAAGCAAUAACUAUUUGUCAGUUCCCCGGGCAACCUAAAUCCAAGCUAAUUCGACAUCCGUGUCGGACACAGAUUCGCUAUCGGGUAUCUCUUUCUAUCUGGACGACAGCAUAUUCGCAUUAGCCUGGCCCGCAACCCACGCUCGAUCGACUCCCUCGACCACCGUCAGCAAUCUCCCUCUCUCUUCUCUCCCUCCUCUAACUCUCUCCCUCUCUCUCUCUCUCUCUCUCUUUCUCUCUCUCUCUCUCUCUCUCUCUCUCUCUCUCUCUCUCUCCUGUUCACUCACUCAGCCAUCCCUCCGACCUUCCACGGAUCCUUCUCCCUUUUCUCCCGUCAGUCGAGCACCUUCUCUUUCUCUUCCAAGUCUCGUCGACUAAGUAUGCUAUAUACCCACGCGCAGCAUCACACCAUAGAAGCAGAUCUCAACACGAUUAGGGCGGUCCUCAAUUCGACGUUUCGUCGAUUCGGUCCUUUCUUUACUCGAACGAUCUGCUUUUAUACGAAAUCUCACCGAAUCAUCCCGUUUUUCUUACCCCGUACGAAACCCCGACGACGACGACGUAACUCUGAUGACCAACCCUUUUACAUGUACGUUGAGGUUUACCUGUGUACAUGUGUGCAUGGAUGUGUAAGUGGAGUUCUCUCUUGAAGAUCGUACGCGAACGAUGCUUUCGAAGAACAGAUUUUAUCAUUCUCCUUCUUCAAGAGAAAAUCGCUUUCCGAUCCACCACUUUUUCUGUCCGCGAGUUUGUCAGCUAACUUACGAUAAACUCUCCCUUCCCUUUUUCUCUUUAUUGCCUUGGAUCAACCAGGGGAAAUGUUCUUCCAGGAGAAAUGACGAUUAGGAACCCUCAAGGCGUUCCUUUCAUUUUCUGGUUCAAGAAAAUUGUUUGUUAUAAUGAAUAAUAUGAUCAGGUCAAUUUCUUUGUCUUUAUUCUUUCCGUAACAGAAUGAUUAGUUUGAUUAUACAUACGUAAUUAUUGUACAUACGUAUUAUACAAGAUCACAUUAAAAAUCUAUUAAAAUAAUUUUUCAAUUACAAUCUUUAUAAAUUUCGUUCCUUAUAGUUAGAAAUCGAUUUCAAUGAAUUUUCAAAUCCACCAAAUUCACAAUUUCUAUGAAUGAUUGUGGUACGAAAUGUAAAAUAAAAAAUACCUAGUCGCCAAAGAUAAAAGCCGAUAUCGUCGAACGCUACAGCUAAUACCAUCAUGUUUGAAAUCCAUCAAGGCUUUCAAUCCUUUAUCUUAACGCGGUCUGUCAAGACCUUAUCUAAAGUGAUUCUCACUUUCAAAGGUAGGAAGAAGAGAAGAAAAGAGAAUACCGAUAACACGAAGUAUGGGGAAUUUAAGAAGCAAGAAAAUAGACAGUGAUGACUGCGACGGAGGAUAAAAGAAUACAAUAAAAAAAAAAAAAAUAAAUAAAUAAAUAAAAAAAAAAAAAUGAAAAAAAAGAAAUAAAAAAAAAAAGAUAAAAAAAAAAUGAUAGAAAGAAAAAAGAGAAAGAAACACGACCGAAAAGUAAAAGGAUUAUAAAUAUUACCAAAGAUUAUCGCUCAAUUAGUACGAAAUAUCCUGCGAGUUAUCUAGAGAGGCACGCGAGCGUGAAGAAAAGCCCUAAAAGGAUUUCAGCCGGAGAGAGAAAAAGGCUCCGAUACGAAAUUUUGUACAAGAGGAGGACAAAAGGGAACCAAUUGGGUGACGAUGAAAUGGAGAAAGAAGGAGGAUGAAGAUAAGAAGCUACUCUUCCUCUUCGAUUCGAUGAUGUACUUUAAAAACUGGUUUCUUUUUAACGAGACAUCUCUUUCUUUUUUAACAGAUUGAUGGUAACACUAGUUACAAACGAAUAAAACAAAGACCAAAAUAGUCCGCGUGAAGAUGGUCAAAAUGUUUGAAGCAAUACCAUAACUCACGUAUAUAAAUAGACAAUGAAUGCGAAGAACGUUAGUGGAUGUCCUGGGUGGGUUCAAUUAAGGCCCCAUUACACUUUUACACAGGCAAUUUUAAAGCUCGCAGCUGGUCGCGAAGUCGGGUAUUAUUUAUCGGUUGACUUACGCCGAGCUCAUUUACAGGAUAAAAAGAAGGUCAGGAGUAAGAGAAGGGACAGAAGAUGGCGCUGGUGAUUACCAGUAACGUCGGCAAACGGGAUUGGUCGAUCUACGGUAAAUCUACGUCUCGAUUGGUCAACACGUGACUGUGGUAGGAUUCCUUUCCUUUGAAACGGUCAGGCGCCGACGGCACGACGAGAGAUGAUAGAAUAUCUUAUUAGUCGGACAAUGGGCAAUCAGAGACGCCAUACAGCCUCUCUGUUAGCGGUCCAGUCUCUCUCUCUCUCUCUCUCUCUCUCUCUCUCUCUUUCUCUCUUUCCCUCUCUUUCUUAUUCUCUCUUCUUCUUCUUAGUCCAUACAUCUGUCUGUCCUACGUACGCUUAGUGUUCGUGGUUAUCCAAGGUUACCUCCCGAGUCAACUUCUUUAACUCUCUUCUCUUUCUUUACUUUCUUCUUUUGUCUUUUUAAUCAAUGAUAAACAAAAACAAAAAAAAAAAAAAAUACGCAAAAAAUUAUUACAGUUCCUUUUUUCUCAAUUUUCAUUUUAUAGAUUUCCUUAGGAUAAUUAUACAACGAUAUAAAAAUGUUUCCAAUGAUAUUCAGUAAUUUGCAAUAAAAAAAUAAUAUCGUUAUUAAAUAGAUUAUCGUUCAUAUUUAUCGCAAAUAGCAAAGUGUCGUAUAAAUAAGGAAAAAUAAGGAGGAAGGAAGAAGACAAAUCGUUAUUCAUCUUUACCUUUCUUCUCUUAUCACAUCGUUCGACAUUAUCAAGAACUACUUACGAAUCGAAGCUUUGAUACUGGACAUCGAUAAGCAUUCCCUUCUGGGAUACUUAUCCAGUAAAGGAUCUUGACGAUCAUACGGAGGGAUAAUACGACAUAAAAAAGCAAGAAGAAGAAUCCUUGUGAAUCAGAAGAAAAGCCAAAAAUCCCUUUGGGUGUUCGAAGAUCCAGCCGGCGAUAUAAAAGAAGAGCCGUCAGACGAAAAGUCGUGAAAGACAGUAUAUCUCUACCGUGGUCUGGAUUUACCAAGUUACUGUCCUCUCACUGUCUUCUUCUAUUUUCUUACUCUAUCUAUCUUUCUCCCUUCUUUCCCACCAAAUAGUUCUUUGGUUACGAAUCCGACAUACAAUCGGAGGUAAUAAUGAUAAUUCGACGGAGGAAGACGAAAUCGGGUGAUUUACUCGCACGGUGAGGAAUCUCCUGGAGUUCAGAGGGCAGCGCCCUUGCUGCGCGUUAACUCACCCCCGCUGGGCGCACAGCAACAUGCGAUGCUGCUAGGGUUGAUGAAUGGAUUCUACGUAACGCGUGCGUGCGUCCGCGCGCGCGCGCGUGCUCGUUCAAAGAGCGCGUCGAAAAUCGGACGGAUUUUCGCGCAAUGGAUAAAAGAACGUACCUCUGUGAUUCAAAUUUUAUCAUGAAUAUUAACCCCAAUAAAAUAUCCGGAAAAGAGAAGUUAAACCAACAACGAUGAACUUACGUGAAAAUAUACAAGAAUUUUUCAAUGACCAUAUCAUUACAAAAUUGUUUUUCAUUUGUUAUUAUUUUAUAGAAAAAUUUAUCUAUUCUUCGUGAUUACUCAAUGAGAUAUUCAUUUAAUUACGAUCGAUCAUCAUUCCAAAAGGAGUUUCACAGACUUUCGGAAAGUUUCGUACACUUCGUAUAAAUGUCUCGAUUUGGAUAGGAACGUUUGAAAUACCGUUAACGCAUUAUUGUCCGGUCUAAGUCGCGUAUAAUAUUACGCCUUCUAUAUACCUUGAAAUGCAAUAAAUACGUCACACGAUAAUGGACUCACACGCAAACCUUAACAUUACAUCAUGAUAAAAAUAGUUUCUCCUUGAAAGUGGUUCGAAGGAUCGCUCGAACUAAAAGUUACGAUCCCUUGUAAGGGAUAUUGAGCUACGAGUGACGAGAGUUGUUUUCGAGGGUGAAUGUAUUUUGGAUGUUUAUUUUUUAUCGAGACGACGUUUCAGUAUUUUUAAUCUCACCAUAAUUUGUUAUAAUGAUAUUGAAGGAGUAUUGAUGAAUUUGUCAUUGAGAUAUUUGUCAAUUGUCAAAUUGCGUUUUAAUGAAUGAACAAGGAAUAAGAAGAAAAAUAGAGGAAAGAAAGAGAAAGCAAAAGAAUAGUAGAAAGCAAAUUGGCUUGCUAGCUGACAAAGACAGACAGACAGGUCUGAGCAAAAGCGAAGAGGGCAUCGUGUUUGAACUCUAAGAGGACUUUCAAUGCUCUUUCCCAAUGAGAAAUAAAAAGAUCAAGCUGCGAAUUUGCCGAUGGAAGCCCAGCUUGAUUUAUUAAUUCGAUUAAACCUUAUAAGCGGUGUACCGAUGUUUAAUCUUACUUGAGCGCGAAGCAACCAUUUUUACAUAGUGCCUACUCUCACGCGAGCCACUUCGCGCUACUCGAUUGUUCUUGCUAUGGAUGAUUCUCAUGAGAGAGUUCGACUCUAUUAUUAUGCUCUCCCUUUUUAUUUCGUUUUCGCAACCCGUCGAUUUAUUUUACGAUCAUCGCCGUACAAGUACGUUUCAAACAAUCCUUUUAACGAUAUGCGAUGGUUUCUUAUUAAAAAUUUCUAAAUUAGCUUGAAUUUCUAUUCUUUCAUAAGUAAUUAGAACCUUAAGAAAUAAAUUUUUGA